ACAGCAGGAAGGAGCAGCUGGACUUGGCUAAGAAAAAGCUAAAGCAGGCCAAGAAAGAAGCCAAAGGGAGCUCAGGAAACAAGCUGUUUAUGUCGUGGAGAAGAACAAGAAAGCUGUGCAGAGGUGAGGAACAGCUGCUGAAGAUGGAGGUUCAGGCUACAGACAGAGAGGAGAACAAACAGAUCGCCGUGAGCACCUCCAAAUUCAACUACCGUGGCCUGGUGUAAGAACAUGGAGGUGACACUGGAAAAAAUGUAUAACAAAACCUUAAAGGAUAAGUUUGCCUGGGCUAUCGACAUGACUGAACAUGACGUUGUGUUCCG
Carassius auratus (goldfish) is the source of this 323-nucleotide long non-coding RNA. RefSeq lists it as uncharacterized. The transcript has 3 exons. NCBI's taxonomy places the organism in Eukaryota, Metazoa, Chordata, Actinopteri, Cypriniformes, Cyprinidae. The record is from RefSeq and is a predicted model, not a curated record.